CGCACGGGGCGCGUGCAUGCAAUGCGCUUUGGUGAAAAGUUAACGCGUCGCUCCCGCUUUUUGAGAAAAGCUGCAAAGCUGGAAUGGUAAUUCACAGCGAUAAUAAAAGGUAGGUAGGUAGGUGGGUGGGUGGGUAGGUAGGUAGGUAGGUAGGGGAUCGCAGCUGCCGCCACCAAAACACCCGAAGGCUGCCAUCCCGCACCCACGUUUUAGCUAGGAGCAAAGGUCGUUCGAACUCCGGGGCGGGGGGGGGGGAGCUUCCUCCUCGCGAGGAGACGUGCCCAAAGAUCGCGCCUUUACGCAGGCGAUUUAAAAAAUACAUAUAAUGAAAUGAGAUCGUAUGCGACUCCGGCAACGUCUCCGGGAAAAGAGGAAAGGUCCACAAAUGGGUUUUAUUUUUUUUAAAUAAAUUUAUUUAUUUAUUUAUGGGCUUUAAAAGAGGGGGUAGGUAGGUUCACAACCAGAGAGGGGGCUAAAAAUAAUAUGAUUUUUAAAAUAAAUAAUAAUCCGUAAAUGCUGUACUAACAUCCCAGGGAAGGGAAGAACGGAGGGAAAGAGAUGGAGCUUUCCCCGCCCCCCCCACCCCAAAAAACUACUUUUUUAAAAAAAGAAAAGGCUGAGAUGCGAAGUCAGACUUGGGAAUUUUUAUAAGGUGUGAAGCAAACAGGCCUGAGAUACAAUCAUCAUCAUCAUCAUCAAAUGUCCAUUUCGGAGCGGUGGAGAAAACUCCCAUAUUAUCCCUCUGGGAGGGGAUUUGAAAUAAAAGAGCAAACUUUGGAGUGAGAGAAAGGUGUUUGCUUUUUUUAGGAAAUCAUCUGGAUUUGCAUAGAUCCUUACAGCUAAACUCCCCAGAAAGAAACUCAGCAGUUUCUCAGAGUGGCUUUUUUUUUUUUUUUUGGAGAGUUUAGAAAUCAGAAUCAAGUCCUCCGAGAAAGGGGUGCCUGAGGCGUGCGCGGCGUUACUCCAACCGAGAGAAGAGGACCUCCCCAUUCCUUUGAGAGGCUCUACUUCCGAGUAGAACUUGGCUGGACUCAGCAGCCCUCUAGAUCCGGGUGAGAAUCGCCGGAACAGGGGAACGACGCGCUGCAGGAAUCGCGUCUCCAAGGCUUUCAGCUCAGGAAACUACCCACUCGCGCGCACCUUUCGCGAGGAAAUGGGAUUCGAGAGGAAUCUUCCUAUUCUGGAGCACUCUCGCCCUCCCUCUCGCCUUUUAAAAAAUCCCAUUAUUGCCACCGACCUUCCGCACGCACGUUGCGAAGCGAAACACGCACGCGUACCCAAAGUUUCCUAAGUCAGGACUGAGCGACGCACAAUUGCCUGAAAGGGAGCUUGUAUAGAGACACCUAUCAUCUGAAGAGGAGGGAAUUCCAAACUUGAAGUAGUUUUUCUCUCCUCCAACGCCCCCAGCCCAGUUUUUAGCUCUCGACAAAGAAGUCACAACUGUCUCCUAACUUCUAUUCCCUUCUGCCCCCGCCCCAGCGUCAACAAAAAUAAUAUUUUGGUAAGCUAAUGUAACAGCAGGCUGUUGAUUCUGGUAACAGUAACAAUAAAACCAGGAUGUU
This is a non-coding RNA of Podarcis lilfordi (Lilford's wall lizard), 1562 nucleotides long. Lineage: Eukaryota; Metazoa; Chordata; Lepidosauria; Squamata; Lacertidae. The record is from the annotation of a GenBank genome assembly.